RNAcentral lists this transfer RNA (73 nucleotides) under Felis catus (domestic cat). It matches the Rfam family "tRNA". From Rfam's summary of the family: Transfer RNA (tRNA) molecules are approximately 80 nucleotides in length. Lineage: Eukaryota; Metazoa; Chordata; Mammalia; Carnivora; Felidae. The record is from Rfam by way of RNAcentral. RNAcentral also lists the same sequence under 4 other names.
ACCUGGCUGGCUCAGUCGGUGGAGUGUGAGGCUCUUGAUCUCAGGGAUGUGAGUUCAAGCCCCACGUUGGGUA